CCUACGGGAGACAGCAGUGAGGAAUAUUGGUCAAUGGACGAGAGUCUGAACCAGCCAAGUAGCGUGAAGGAUGACUGCCCUAUGGGUUGUAAACUUCUUUUAUAUGGGAAUAAUAUGUUCUACGUGUGGCAUUUUGUAUGUACCUUAUGAAUAAGCAUCGGCUAACUCCGUGCCAGCAGCCGCGGUAAUACGGAGGAUCCGAGCGUUAUCCGGAUUUAUUGGGUUUAAAGGGUGCGUAGGCGGAUUGUUAAGUUAGUUGUUAAAGUGUGCGGCUCAACCGUAAAAUUCCAGUUGAAACUGGAAGUCUUGAGUUCAGAAGAGGUAGGCGGAAUAAGUGAAGUAGCGGUGAAAUGCUUAGAUAUAACGAAGAACUCCGAUAGCGAAGGCAGCUCACUAGACUGCGACUGACGCUGAGGCUCGAGAGUGUGGGUAUCAAACAGGAUUAGAUACCCGAGUAGUC
Molecule: ribosomal RNA, 460 nt
Filed under: uncultured bacterium
Lineage: Bacteria
Description: partial 16S ribosomal RNA
Rfam family: Bacterial small subunit ribosomal RNA
Source: RNAcentral